UGGGGAAUAUUGGACAAUGGGCGCAAGCCUGAUCCAGCCAUGCCGCGUGAGUGAUGAAGGCCCUAGGGUUGUAAAGCUCUUUCACCGGUGAAGAUAAUGACGGUAACCGGAGAAGAAGCCCCGGCUAACUUCGUGCCAGCAGCCGCGGUAAUACGAAGGGGGCUAGCGUUGUUCGGAAUUACUGGGCGUAAAGCGCACGUAGGCGGACAUUUAAGUCAGGGGUGAAAUCCCGGGGCUCAACCCCGGAACUGCCUUUGAUACUGGGUGUCUAGAGUUCGAGAGAGGUGAGUGGAAUUCCGAGUGUAGAGGUGAAAUUCGUAGAUAUUCGGAGGAACACCAGUGGCGAAGGCGGCUCACUGGCUCGAUACUGACGCUGAGGUGCGAAAGCGUGGGGAGCAAACAGGAUUAGAUGCCCUGGUAGUCCACGCCGUAAACGAUGGAAGCCAGCUGUCGGCAAGUUUACUUGUCGGUGGCGCAGCUAACGCAUUAAGCUUCCCGCCUGGGGAGUACGGUCGCAAGA
RNAcentral lists this ribosomal RNA (520 nucleotides) under uncultured bacterium. RNAcentral describes it as "partial 16S ribosomal RNA". It matches the Rfam family "Bacterial small subunit ribosomal RNA", at positions 355 to 893 of the family's 1533-position model. The record is from RNAcentral.